This 253-nucleotide ribosomal RNA is filed under the name uncultured bacterium. Its description in RNAcentral is "partial 16S ribosomal RNA". It matches the Rfam family "Bacterial small subunit ribosomal RNA", at positions 524 to 776 of the family's 1533-position model. The record is from RNAcentral.
UACGUAGGGUGCAAGCGUUGUCCGGAAUUAUUGGGCGUAAAGAGCUCGUAGGCGGUUUGUCGCGUCUGCUGUGAAAUCCCGAGGCUCAACCUCGGGCUUGCAGUGGGUACGGGCAGACUAGAGUGCGGUAGGGGAGAUUGGAAUUCCUGGUGUAGCGGUGGAAUGCGCAGAUAUCAGGAGGAACACCGAUGGCGAAGGCAGAUCUCUGGGCCGUAACUGACGCUGAGGAGCGAAAGCGUGGGUAGCGAACAGG